GUCUAUGGCCAAGCUCCCCUGAACAAGCCUGAUCCUGUCUGAUCUUUGAAGCUAAGCAGGGUCAGGCCUGGUUAGUACUUGAAUAGGAGACCACCUAGGAAGAACAGGUGCUGUAGGUG
Pteropus vampyrus (large flying fox) is the source of this 119-nucleotide ribosomal RNA. Lineage: Eukaryota; Metazoa; Chordata; Mammalia; Chiroptera; Pteropodidae. The record is from Ensembl.